Molecule: RNA transcript, 9042 nt
Organism: Lagopus muta (rock ptarmigan)
Lineage: Eukaryota; Metazoa; Chordata; Aves; Galliformes; Phasianidae
Gene: AADAT
Gene name: aminoadipate aminotransferase
Exons: 16
Source: RefSeq, a predicted model, not a curated record
ACCCACCCACCGCAGCCCGGUGCGGACGGGGUCGCCGCCGGCUCCGCGCCGUGCCGCCGACAUGAAUUAUUCUCGGUUUCUCACAAGUGUGAGUGCUGCAAGAAAAGCCUCUCCAAUAAGAGUUCUGACUGAAUUGAUGCAAAAGUCUCCUCCGUCUCUCAUCUCUCUGGCUGGAGGGGCCCCAAACCCUGCUGUUUUUCCAUUUAAGAAGGCUACUAUUGCCACUGGACAUGGAAACGCUGUUGAGAUUGGGGAAGACUUAAUGAAGAGGGCUCUUCAAUACUCUGCCUCAGCAGGGAUUCCAGAACUGCUGUCGUGGCUGAAGAAUUUUCAGAGGAAUCUACACAAUCCCCCCACAGCCAACUACAGUCCUGAGGGAGGACAAAUGGAAGUGUGUGUCACAACUGGCAGCCAGGAAGGCUUAUGCAAAGUGUUUGAAAUGCUCAUUAAUCCUGGGGACAGCAUCCUUUUGGAUGCCCCCACAUAUUCUGGGACACUAGCAGCUCUGAGACCUUUGGGCUGUAACAUCAUUAAUGUUCCUAGCGACCAACAUGGCAUUAUUCCAAAAGCUCUAAAAGAAAUUCUGUCCGCUUGGAAUCCAGGAGAUAUAAAAAAUAGCCGCCCUGUCCCCAAGUUCCUGUACACGAUUCCAAAUGGCUGCAACCCAACUGGAAACUCUCUGACCGCGGAUCGCAAGAAGGAGAUCUAUCAGCUUGCAAGAAAAUAUGAUUUCCUUAUUAUAGAAGAUGAUCCUUACUACUUUCUUCAGUUUGAAAAGCCGUGGGCUCCAAGUUUCCUCUCAAUGGACGUGGAUGGCAGAGUCAUCAGGACUGACUCAUUCUCUAAAGUUCUCUCAUCUGGGUUGAGAGUUGGUUUUCUGACAGGUCCCAAGCCUCUUAUCGACAGAGUUAUUCUACACAUUCAGGUUUCUACAAUGCACACCAGCACUUUCACACAGAUGAUAAUUUCACAGCUUCUUCAGCAGUGGGGAGAAAAGGGUUUCUUGGAGCACACAGACAGAGUUGUGGAGUUCUACAGGACCCAGCGGGAUGCAAUGCUCAUUGCUGCUGACAAAUGGUUGAAAGGCUUGGCAGAAUGGCAUCCUCCUGCUGCUGGCAUGUUCUUAUGGAUCAAAAUUAAGGGAGUUUCUGAUACACAGCAGCUGAUCAUGGAAAAAGCUUUGCAAAAAGAAGUGUUACUGGUUCCUGGGGGAGUGUUCAGCAUCGAUAGUUCAGAGCCCAGUCCCUAUGUCAGAGCUUCUUUCUCUCUGCCUUCUCCAGCCCAGAUGGAUCUGGCAGUCAUGCAAGAAAACCAUACGUCUCCAGCUAGAAAGCAAUGCACAGGAUGUCCAGAAAAAUAAAGCAGGUUCCUAUCCCUUAGUGUGUAUAGGUGGUUAGAUACGAGACGCAGGGAGGACUCGACCUCUGAACAUCAAGAGAUGGUUGCUGGCACUGCUGAAUACACAGCUUUCUCCAGUAAGGUCAUGUCUGCACUGGAAAAUGUUGCUGCUAUAAACUUCAUUGACUUUCAGUUUCUGAUAACAGUAGGUGAAAGCAUACCCAACUCUGGCAUUGUGCCACAAGACACUGUUUUAUUCUGACAGCCACAGCCCUCCAUUUGCUGAGUCACUGAAAACUUGCAGUUAUGAGCCUGUCCAAAUGAAAGGCACCUUUAAUCAACGGCAAGUUUGUAAUAAAACUUGGCCUAGAUGUAAGUUUCUCCUAGGGGGACCUGCACAGCAGCAAGGGCAGCAAACAGCCUCCUCAGCAUCUGAGAAUCAAUCGCAGAGGUGCAGAAGGGGAUCCUACUGCAGAGGAAACAGGAUCUCAUCAACACUGUGUGCAGUUGUAAAUUUGAAAUCUCCAGACAGAACGCAGAGAAUCUGAGAAGCAGAAUAAAGACAUCCAUGAUGUCAGAUUUCAGUACACCACAUAACUUGCAUGCUGAAUACUUGCUGCUAGAUCUCCCUAAAAAGUGUUCUGAAGUCUUCCUUUUGUUGGGUCGGUGUACGUAAUCGAAUACACAAAGCCAGAACUCAGUUAUGACAGUGCUAUUCUCUGUGCUUCAGAAACAUAUCAGGUGCAAACUAAAAACCGAAACACUUUCUUUUCCAAAGAUAAGUUAUUUUCAGGUGUUUACCAAAAGAAACACAGAAAGCAAAGUUCCCAUGUACACUCAAAGGGUGGCAAAGCAUGAGAGUAUCACUGAGAACUGAAUGCAAACAAAGAGACAGACCAGGUGCCAAAAGGGAAACUCAUGGCAGAGUUUCUCACAGGAAAAGAGCCAGUGAAAUGAACCAUAAAAUAACUUUAAAAGGCAGAAGGGAGAAAAAUAUUUAUUCUGCAAAUGCAGGUGGGAGACAUUCAAGACCUAUCUGGAUGCCCACCUAUGUGACCUGCUGUAGGGUACCUGCUUUGGCAGGGGGUUGGACUUGAUGAUCCCUUAAGGUUCCUUCCAACCCCUGUCAUUCUGUGAUUCUGUUAGAAAACCCUCCUUCCAGCCCAAAACCAUUCCUCAGUCUUCACAGCAACUAGAUGCUGAGUGGAAUAAAAGGGCUCCAGGGGCAGUAAAAUUUAAUUACACUGGUUCUUGUUCCAUUGUCAUUGCUCACACUACCUCUCCUCUUGGGGGAAUUUAAAAAAUAAUGUAGAAAACUUUUGGUUUUUUUUUAGAGAAUAAUUUCUGCCUGCAAGAUUCUGAUUUUCCUAUGAUAUGAGAUGAUCUGUAUCAGAUUCUUCUGUAAGAAUAUGUUAAGUAUUUGCCUGCGGGUCUUAGUAUUCCUGUCAUGAACAUAUUUUCUUUCACAAGAAGCAAUGCAUUUGCAUCUGUGCCAGUUAAAUCACAUAAAUAGUCAAACAUUGGAAGUAUCCUUUGCUUUAAAUAUAUUUUAGUGUUUAGAGAACAGAAUUUGAGCCCCAAAACCUGCUUAUGCUAUCACAAAAGUGAAACUCCUGUUUGCUAUUGCAUACCUGCAAAUUCAAGGGCUGUUUAAACUCAUCACUGCCUAAGUUUGGAAAGCACCACUUACGUAGCUCUGCACUAAGAAAACUAGGGAGUGGGUGUAGAUCCUGUCAGGCUGCCAUGACAAUAUUCAUAGUGAGUGCUUCUUGCAGCCCAGGCAACACUUGACAGUGAAGGGUUACAUGCAGUGAGGGGAAUGCUGAAUUCCCCGCUCCCUUCCUCAGGGAUCCAAGCAGGCAGAGCUGGCCAAGCUAGACGCAGAAAAAGAGUGUCCAUAGAUUCAUCACUGGAUUUACCUCUGAUCAUUCCAUGCACAGCCUCUUGGGAUAUAUUUAGCAAUGAAAUUCUCAAUGUGUGUUAUGUGGUUCUUACGGUUUUGGAAUUACAUCCUUUUAUGUGUACAGUAUUUAUUUAUUUUUUUCAUGUAAUAGUAAUACUGAGAGUAAUCCUACACAUAGAAUCAUAGAAUCAUAGAAUCACCAAGGUUGGAGCAGACCUAAAAGCUCAUCCAGUCCAACCGUUCACCUAUUCCCAAUAGCUCCCACUAAACCAUGUCCCUCAACACAACAUCCAGCCUUUCCUUGAACACCCCCAGGCUCAGUGACUCCAUCACUUCCCUGGGCAUCCAUUCCAGUGCCUGACCACCCUUUCUGAAAAGUAAUACUUCCUCAUGUCCAGCCUGAAUCUCCCCUGCCGUAGCUUGAAACCAUUCCCUCUGGUCCUAUCGCUAAUGACACGAGAGAAGAGGCCGACCCCCAGCUCACUACAACCUCCCUUCAGGAAGUUAUAGAGAGCAAUGAGGUCUCCCCUGAGCCUCCUCUUCUCCAGGCUGAACAUUCCCAGCUCCUUCAGCCUCUCCUCAUCAGCCCUGUGUUCCAGACCCCUCACCAGCUUUGUUGCCCUCCUUUGAACACGUUCCAGGGCCUCAAUAUCUUUCUUGCAGUGAGGGGCCCAAAACUGGACACAGUACUCAAGGUGCGGCCUCACUAGUGCUGAGGGAAUAAGAGUAAAAUAAGCUAAUUAAGAGUAAGUAAGCUAAUUAAAAUUUUAAAAGGCUGCCUCCAUUAAAAAUUGUUUUCUGUCUUGAUGGCAAUUACUUUAUUGCUUUAAAACCUUGCUUUGUUUCAGUAAGUAGAUGAUCUUCCUCAAAACAUGACAAAACGUGCCCAGCGGAUUCUAACUGAGCAACAACACAGCCUAACAUAAACUACUGUAUUAUUCAAUUUACCACAUAGCUUAAUUAUUUUUAUUCUGCAGCUUAGAAAAUUGAGACACAAAAACAGUGGUUUGUCCAAAGUUUCUGAGGAAGCCGGUGGUGAAGACCUAGAAACCUUUUGCCUGUCAGAUUCUUUGAUUCAAUCACAAGACCUUCCCCACUCUGUUACUAGUGGUACAUUAAAGACCAAAGUCUACUGUAACCAGCAGUUACAGAGCACAUUAAAGGAUAACAGAAUUUGGCAUUAAGUUUUAAUGUUAUUGUAGAUCACACUAUGAGGAAGAUCUAUCCCCCAAAGGCUGCAUUGCUGCACUACUGGAUGUGAGAAGGCUGGACUGUUGCAGAUUUCAGACUUUCUGGUGAUCAGGCAGUGGUUAUUUCAGCUGCGUUCAAUAAUCAAUCCAUCAGCUGCCACUGGUCAGCCACUAACUUUGUUGUUUUUUUAAACCUUGCAUGAAAAAAACAUGAAAGCUUCCUCUGAGAUAGCACUUAGGAUUGAUUUCCAAUGAAAUUAUAGCUGAGCACAACAGGCAGGGUACUAAAGAAUGACAUCUCUGUGACUGACUCAUGUCUUUGCUGUUCUUUGAAAUCAAGAGCCCUGAUUUGUUUGUGCUUCUGCUUGGGUUUACGUCCAACCUCCUGGGAUUCUCCUGGGUCCAGAAAGUUUGCUUGACAUGAAGCAGAUAGCUGAGAGGUCAGUAAGCGCAGGGCUUGUCUGCAGCAUCCAUGCUGCUGGUGGAUUUGCCAGAACCCAGCAAAUACAAGUGAGAAAAUGAUUUUCGAAUAAGUGUUCACGUGAAGUUCUAGUUCAGCCUUGUGAAAAAUACUGAUCAGUACAUUCAUAUGGGACAAUCCACAUCCUUCUAGGAAGCAUCUUAUUUCUCCAGUCUUUCUUCUAUGGAUUUAUGGUCCAAAACCCCAGGUUUCUCUACCAUGGUGACUCUGUCCAGUCCCACAUCUACCAUAGUGACACAGCCUGGCCACUCGUGUAACCAACCUAUUAGCAACACUCUAUGCAAAAUUUGUUUACUCUCAUCAGGACACCUAACCUUAGGUGAAUUUAUAGCAAAAUUAGCUUGUUAGCUACAGUGAUGCUUUAGAGAUGAGACAGUGUCUCAUCUGCAAGGUCAGCACGUGUGCUGUCUCAUAUUACUCUGGAUUCUAUGCUUCCAUUUGUGUUAUAGCAUCAGAGAACAUUACUGAUUGACUUCAAAGCUACUGGAAAGGUUUCAUGAGGUAAAAGUGUUGUGAUUGGAUAACAAUUUGCUUUUUUCUCUUGUUUUCUGCUUACAUCAUAGCAAAUGACUAACAAGACUGAAUUGUAAGUUAGAGCAGCUGCUAACAGCUGCAAACGUAAUCAAUUUGCAGCAGUCAUGAGCCACAGAACCAAGCAAGGGAAAGAGGUGAUGCACCUCUCCUGUCCUGCUGUCUGUCAAAGGCCAGCAAAUGGAGGCAGUUUCAGUGAAAUAUUUUGCCUAAUGGGGAUAUAAAAGCUAAUUUAGGUAUUGCUGAGAGCUGGGGCUUUACAGAGAGGGAAGUGCCUGGCAAGACCUAGCUUUGAGGCCCAGUGGUGAUGGGGAGGAACUGCACUUAACUACAUAUCCAAUAUGCAUCUCUCUCUGGAUAUGUCAUGUCUGUUCCAGGCAAAGCAUAAAGCAUAAACUUCUUUAGAUAGACUGUUUUGGUUGUAAACCCAAACUACUGCUUUUGGCAAAGAACUGAUGAGAAAGAAAUGGUCUACCUUGCAAACCCCACAGCCUGUGCUCAGAACAGCAGGUUUGUGCCUGUCCUGCUGCCCUGGGACACAAGAGCUGCAUGCCUCAGGGACCAUUUCUAUGAUGAGAAGUGGCUGAAAUGCAUUGCUAAGACAACUGACCGUACAGAGCACGGUGGGUUCAUUUCCUUCAGAGAGACAUUUAUCCCACUGAGAAAGUCCAUCUUUAGAGCUUCAUAGCUGAAAAAAUACGUUAGGCAAGGCAUGUCUCACUAAACCCUGCUGGAUUUUCCUAUUUUAAAGUUGAUACAAAUAUUAAAACCACUCAGAAAGCUUUCAGAUUGCAUCAGGCAGUAAGGUGUUUAAGAGCAGAGAGCAGCAAAUGAAGUUAGCAGAACUUAAAUUGAAAGGUGCUGGCAGCAAGCAGGCUGCGUGGAGGAAUUUUUUCUAGAUGAUGCAUAGUUCCAAAGUUACAGCUUUCACCGUGAAAUUCUUGAUAACCUGCUAUCAAGAUGUGCUGCAAGUAAAUGAUUUAGCAGCAGUCACAUAUCACAUAACCAAGUACUGGAAAAAGGUGUUGUACCAAGCUGCCAGGCUCUGAAUAUAAGCCUGGAGGACCUACACAUGCACAGAUAUAUGACGAGCAGAAAGGGAUGAAAUUAGCACAACCAUUCCCCAUGCAAGAGAAGCGCUCCUGAAUUUCCUUACAUUUUAUGUCAAUGGACAUCUAGCAAUAAUGGAGGAUAAGUAUGAUUUUUUUAAACUAUUUUUAUAAGCAUUUAAUUAAAAGUAAGUGUUGAUUAAGUCGUGCUGAACUGCGUACAUCACUGAUUUGGAAUGACCACUGAUGGACAGAGAGAAAUCUAACCCAUCACCCGGAAAAGAAGAGAAUUGCUUGGUCAUCACACGAAACACGGCCACAGAAAAUUGUACAGUAAGUUACAGGACUGGAGACAAAGCCUUGACCAUCUCAAAACUACUUUCAGUAUCACAGUGUCAGAGAGUUCAAGAUCAAUAAACAACAUUUGUAUCUUCUCAUUCGCUGGGCUUGGCAGAGUGCAGCUGUUCUUCCACUGGAAUGGUUUUGUGGAGUACAGCUAAGUUGAUCAUGGAAGAACACAUGAAAAAAAGAGGUGGAUUAUGCACUCCUAGGAGCAGUUUGUCUUUGCACAAAGGGAUCUGCCAGUAUUGGUGUGGUGGUUGAUUACAGAUGUCAGAGACUGUCCCAUGCAAGUAGAAGUGGUGCCUGUUUCUCCUCUGCUGCCUCAGACUGUUCAUUCAGUUCAUUUUGGAGCAGCACUGUUGCACAAGGGAGAUUUUUCAGACACUGACAAAUAGCUACGUUGAAGUAUAAAUUCUGAAGCACAAGACAUGAACCUAUGGACCAACCUAAGAAGGCAAGACAUCAGUUGUGACUUGAGAGGACACAGGCUUUGAGACCAUCAAAUAGAACAACAUGGAAAGACUCAAGAUGGAAAGAAUGCACGGUGCUUUUAGUAUAUGAAAUGAAAUUACUGCUGAAAGUCCUUACGUGCACGGUAUUUAAGUUUGAUACCAGCAUACAGUAUGUUAGUUGCUGAUACUUGGUCUAAGUCAGCUCCAGUUUGUCUUAUUCAACCUGAUAUCAGCUAGGACAGAGCUGAUGUCCUUCAAAAUGUCUGAUAUGAUGCUAUGUUUUGGCUUUGGAAAAAAAACAAUGUCAAUGACAUGCUGAUGUUUCUAAUUACUGCUGAAUAAUGCUGUACAGAGCCAAGGACACUUCAGUUUCUCAGCUUCUCACACUGUUCUGUCAGUGAGGGACUGAGGGGCACAAGGAGCUGCCAAGGGACAGAACCAGGGCAGCUGUGACCUAAACUGGCCAAAGGGAUAUUUCAUGUCAUAUGACAUCAUGCAAAAAAACUAUAAAACUGAGGGGAGUUGGCUGGGGGAGGUAUGGAGGAGGGGUGGAAGGGGGGCUGCCACUGCUUGGGAACUGGCUGGGCGUUGAUUGGUGGGGGGUGAGAAAUUGCUUUGUCCAUCACUUGUUUUCUAUAUUCAUACAUGUAUAUAUGUUAUAUUAUCAUUACAAUUAUUUUCCUUACAAAUUGGCAUUAUUUGAAAUGCUUACUUAUUAAUGCAUACAAAUUGUGGCCCUGAUUUUACUGAUAUAUUAAAAAUAAAAGACAGAAUCUCAUAGUAACUGAAGACCUCCAUGCAAACUCCAAUUAACAAUACUUUACACAGUAUAUGCAAGCAACAGGACAUCCAGCAAAGCCCUCCUAAAACUUGCUCUAUGAUCCAUGAAGCUACUAUCUCCAUUUUACUGAUGUAUAAACUGUAGUUGAGGGGAAAAGUUGAAGAGAUUUGCUUAAGGACAUAUAAGCUUUCUGAGGGCCCAGUCUUUGAGAGCACCCAGCCCAAUGGAUAUAUUAAUUAAAACAUAUACGGGCAUGGUACUAAAACUUAAUUCCAGGUCUUGUUGGAGCUGAGGGAUAUGUGAAGAGAAACAAAUCACUCACAUUCGCAGUUCCAUCAGCAAGGGUUACUGGUGGGAGGCUGGGCAGGUGGGUGCUUUGCUCUGUUCUUCCUGCCUUUCAAUCUUCUGUACAUCCAUCUAUUCUGAAACGUACAAACAAGUAUUACCCAAUAUAAGUCUGCAACAAUGAAUAAUUUGACAGCCUACAAGUCUUGGAAUAUUUUGCAGUUUCAUUUAUCUUAGCAGAUGGUACCACUUUCUCCCUCUUAGACAAUCUGCUAGUAUCUGCUAUAAUUUCUCCUGCCAUGACUUGUUAAUACAGGACAGGGAACAAUGAGAGUAGGCAGUAAGAUCAACCUGUGUCACAGACAAAAAGACUUGCAAAAAUAUCAGAAUGCUGUUAAAUUGAAUGUGAGAAGGAAGAAGCAGCUUUAGUGAGCUUCUGAAAACCAUCAGAAGAGAAGCAUGUGAGGAAAAAAACAUGUUCUGCAUAGGGUCUGCAUAGCUGAUCUUUAUGGAGCAGUAGCUUGCCUUUUAAUCUAGUCUUAAAAAAACAUAACCAAAGCAGAUCCUUAAUGUACUUCAUUUGCAAGGCUGUUGACACUUGAAAAAUCACUGUGGAAAACCUUCUGCUUGCUGGUAGGAAUUUGUCAUGGUUGCAGAGCCAGUUGUUUGUUUUUUUGUUUUUUUUUUUGC